This 1476-nucleotide ribosomal RNA is filed under the name uncultured bacterium. Its description in RNAcentral is "partial 16S ribosomal RNA". It matches the Rfam family "Bacterial small subunit ribosomal RNA". The record is from RNAcentral.
GGAGAUUGAACGCUGGCGGCAGGCCUAACACAUGCAAGUCGAGCGGAUGAAGGGAGCUUGCUCCUGGAUUCAGCGGCGGACGGGUGAGUAAUGCCUAGGAAUCUGCCUGGUAGUGGGGGAUAACGUCCGGAAACGGGCGCUAAUACCGCAUACGUCCUGAGGGAGAAAGUGGGGGAUCUUCGGACCUCACGCUAUCAGAUGAGCCUAGGUCGGAUUAGCUAGUUGGUGGGGUAAAGGCCUACCAAGGCGACGAUCCGUAACUGGUCUGAGAGGAUGAUCAGUCACACUGGAACUGAGACACGGUCCAGACUCCUACGGGAGGCAGCAGUGGGGAAUAUUGGACAAUGGGCGAAAGCCUGAUCCAGCCAUGCCGCGUGUGUGAAGAAGGUCUUCGGAUUGUAAAGCACUUUAAGUUGGGAGGAAGGGCAGUAAGUUAAUACCUUGCUGUUUUGACGUUACCAACAGAAUAAGCACCGGCUAACUUCGUGCCAGCAGCCGCGGUAAUACGAAGGGUGCAAGCGUUAAUCGGAAUUACUGGGCGUAAAGCGCGCGUAGGUGGUUCAGCAAGUUGGAUGUGAAAUCCCCGGGCUCAACCUGGGAACUGCAUCCAAAACUACUGAGCUAGAGUACGGUAGAGGGCGGUGGAAUUUCCUGUGUAGCGGUGAAAUGCGUAGAUAUAGGAAGGAACACCAGUGGCGAAGGCGACCACCUGGACUGAUACUGACACUGAGGUGCGAAAGCGUGGGGAGCAAACGAGAUUAGAUACCCUGGUAGUCCACGCCGUAAACGAUGUCGACUAGCCGUUGGGAUCCUUGAGAUCUUAGUGGCGCAGCUAACGCGAUAAGUCGACCGCCUGGGGAGUACGGCCGCAAGGUAAAACUCAAAUGAAUUGACGGGGGCCCGCACAAGCGGUGGAGCAUGUGGUUAAUUUCGAAGCAACGCGAAGAACCUUACCUGGCCUUGACAUGCUGAGAACUUUCCAGAGAUGGAUUGGUGCCUUCGGGAACUCAGACACAGGUGCUGCAUGGCUGUCGUCAGCUCGUGUCGUGAGAUGUUGGGUUAAGUCCCGUAACGAGCGCAACCCUUGUCCUUAGUUACCAGCACCUCGGGUGGGCACUCUAAGGAGACUGCCGGUGACAAACCGGAGGAAGGUGGGGAUGACGUCAAGUCAUCAUGGCCCUUACGGCCAGGGCUACACACGUGCUACAAUGGUCGGUACAAAGGGUUGCCAAGCCGCGAGGUGGAGCUAAUCCCAUAAAACCGAUCGUAGUCCGGAUCGCAGUCUGCAACUCGACUGCGUGAAGUCGGAAUCGCUAGUAAUCGUGAAUCAGAAUGUCACGGUGAAUACGUUCCCGGGCCUUGUACACACCGCCCGUCACACCAUGGGAGUGGGUUGCUCCAGAAGUAGCUAGUCUAACCGCAAGGGGGACGGUUACCACGGAGUGAUUCAUGACUGGGGUGAAGUCGUAACAAGGU